AGCAGCCGCCGCGGUAAUACGAAGGGUGCAAGCGUUAAUCGGAAUUACUGGGCGUAAAGCGUGCGUAGGUGGUGGUUUAAGUCCGUUGUGUAAGCCCUGGGCUCAACCUGGGGGCUGCAUUUGAGACGCGUAGUCUAGAGUGUGAAAGAGGGUCGUGGAAUUCCCAGUGUAGAGGUGAAAUUCGUAGAUAUUGGGAAGAACACCGGUGGCGAAGGCGACGACCUGGUUCAUAACUGACGCUGAGGCGCGAAAGCGUGGGGAGCAAACAGGAUUAGAUACCCGCGUAGUCCCUGUCUCUUAUAC
RNAcentral lists this ribosomal RNA (303 nucleotides) under uncultured bacterium. RNAcentral describes it as "partial 16S ribosomal RNA". It matches the Rfam family "Bacterial small subunit ribosomal RNA", at positions 507 to 807 of the family's 1533-position model. The record is from RNAcentral.